RNAcentral lists this ribosomal RNA (253 nucleotides) under uncultured bacterium. Its description in RNAcentral is "partial 16S ribosomal RNA". It matches the Rfam family "Bacterial small subunit ribosomal RNA", at positions 524 to 776 of the family's 1533-position model. The record is from RNAcentral.
UACGUAGGGUGCGAGCGUUCAUCGGAAUUACUGGGCGUAAAGUGUGCGCAGGCGGCGUCGCAAGUCGAGUGUGAAAUCCCCGGGCUUAACUUGGGAAUUGCGCUCGAAACUACGGUGCUGGAGUGUGGCAGAGGAAGGUGGAAUUCCACGUGUAGCGGUGAAAUGCGUAGAUAUGUGGAGGAACACCGAUGGCGAAGGCAGCCUUCGGGGCCAACACUGACGCUCAUGCACGAAAGCGUGGGGAGCAAACAGG